UCUGAGUCUUUUGGUGUGAGCUACUUUAUCUGGAGAGUUGAAAAUUGUCCAUAUUUGUCAACAGGCUUUAAUACAUAAUAAUAUAUACACAAUAAAGCAAUCUACCUAAUAUUAUUGUUGAACAAAACUUGUCUUUUUUACAUCCUAUAGUUUGGCUACAUUUAGUUUGUUGCAUCAGAAGGCUGACUUUCGUUUCUGUCAUAAAUGAAAUGCUAUCUAAAUAAUAACAGUCAUUCUCCUAGUAAAUUUGUUUUGUAAAAAGUGGUCUACUAGAUAGGGGAUGCGUCUAUUCUGCUACAAAUUCUUGGUGCUGUUCUGCUUGUUUUUUGGUUAUUAUUGCUUAUUCCAAUCAAUUUGGAGUCUGACAUAGAAUCUCUU
Biomphalaria pfeifferi is the source of this 378-nucleotide non-coding RNA. NCBI's taxonomy places the organism in Eukaryota, Metazoa, Mollusca, Gastropoda, Planorbidae. The record is from the annotation of a GenBank genome assembly.